Molecule: unclassified non-coding RNA, 234 nt
Filed under: plant metagenome
Description: partial contains small subunit ribosomal RNA, internal transcribed spacer 1, and 5.8S ribosomal RNA
Source: RNAcentral
UUUCCGUAGGUGAACCUGCGGAAGGAUCAUUAAAGUUAUAGUCCCCCGGCCCUCUGGGCUGGGGUCUUCUAUACAACCCUUUGUUGAUUACGCCUUUGUUGCUUUGGCAGGCCUGCCCUCGGGCUGCUGGCUCCGGCCGGCUCGCGUCUGCCACAGGACCUAAACUCUGUUUGUAUAUGAAGUCUGAGUACUAUAUAAUAGUUAAAACUUUCAACAACGGAUCUCUUGGUUCUG